RNAcentral lists this ribosomal RNA (670 nucleotides) under Bacillus licheniformis. RNAcentral's name for it is "bacterial SSU rRNA". It matches the Rfam family "Bacterial small subunit ribosomal RNA", at positions 54 to 705 of the family's 1533-position model. Lineage: Bacteria; Bacillati; Bacillota; Bacilli; Caryophanales; Bacillaceae. The record is from RNAcentral.
CAUGCAAGUCGAGCGGACCGACGGGAGCUUGCUCCCUUAGGUCAGCGGCGGACGGGUGAGUAACACGUGGGUAACCUGCCUGUAAGACUGGGAUAACUCCGGGAAACCGGGGCUAAUACCGGAUGCUUGAUUGAACCGCAUGGUUCAAUCAUAAAAGGUGGCUUUUAGCUACCACUUACAGAUGGACCCGCGGCGCAAUAGCUAGUUGGUGAGGUAACGGCUCACCAAGGCGACCAUUCGUAGCCCACCUGAGAGGGUGAUCGGCCACACUGGGACUGAGACACGGCCCAAACUCCUACGGGAGGCAGCAGUAGGGAAUCUUCCGCAAUGGACGAAAGUCUGACGGAACAACGCCCCGUGAGUGAUGAAGGUUUUCGGAUCGUAAAACUCUUUUGUUAGGGAAGAACAAGUACCGUUCGAAUAGGGCGGCACCUUGACGGUACCUAACCAGAAAGCCACGGCUAACUACGUGCCAGCAGCCGCGGUAAUACGUAGGUGGCAAGCGUUGUCCGGAAUUAUUGGGCGUAAAGCGCGCGCAGGCGGUUUCUUAAGUCUGAUGUGAAAGCCCCCGGCUCAACCGGGGAGGGUCAUUGGAAACUGGGGAACUUGAGUGCAGAAGAGGAGAGUGGAAUUCCACGUGUAGCGGUGAAAUGCGUAGAGAUGUGGAGGA